GGUGACUUAGUGGUUAUAGCGUCCGCCUCGGAUGCGGGAGGUUGUGGGUUCGAUCACCGGUCCAGUCA
This is a non-coding RNA of Potamilus streckersoni, 68 nucleotides long. The record is from the annotation of a GenBank genome assembly. Lineage: Eukaryota; Metazoa; Mollusca; Bivalvia; Unionida; Unionidae.